ACCAGUGACGAUGCAGGACUUUGAAAAUGCGAUGCGCAAAUUGAAGCGCAGUGUUUCGGAAACAGGUCGUGAAUUGGCAAAA
RNAcentral lists this ribosomal RNA (82 nucleotides) under Thalassiosira minuscula. Its description in RNAcentral is "partial 5.8S ribosomal RNA". The record is from RNAcentral. Lineage: Eukaryota; Bacillariophyta; Thalassiosirophyceae; Thalassiosirales; Thalassiosiraceae.